CUCGCUGUGCAGUCCCUAUGGGCCUCGCUGUGCAGUCCCUAUGGGCCUCGCUGUGCAGUCCCUAAGGGCCUCGCUGUGCAGUCCCUAAGGGCCUCGCUGUGCAGUCCCUAAGGGCCUCGCUGUGCAGUCCCUAAGGGCCUCGCUGUGCAGUCCCUAAGGGCCUCGCUGUGAGGUCCCAGUCCGGUCGUGAUACAGCCAGGAUUCUAACCAGGGCGCCUGUAGUGACACCUAAAGCACUGAGAUGCAGUGCCUUAGACCGCUGCAUCACUCAGGAGCCCCAGAUCAGACAUCUACCGGCCCUCGAGGUCAGACAUCUACCGGCCCUCGAGGUCAGACAUCUACCGGCCCUCGAGGUCAGACAUCUACCGGCCCUCGAGGUCAGACAUCUACCGGCCCUCUCAGACAUCUACCGGCACUCGAGGUCAGACAUCUACCGGCCCUCGAGGUCAGACAUCUACCGGCCCUCGAGGUCAGACAUCUACCGGCCCUCGAGGUCAGACAUCUACCGG
This is a long non-coding RNA of Oncorhynchus tshawytscha (Chinook salmon), 509 nucleotides long. The record is from Ensembl. Lineage: Eukaryota; Metazoa; Chordata; Actinopteri; Salmoniformes; Salmonidae.